GAGCCCUAAUCUUCGCAAGUGUUGACGGUCGGUUUUCAUCAAACCAUAAUAUAUACAGUCACGAACUUCCUUCCCCCCAAAACUUCCCCCAGACUCUUCUUCUCCCCUUGAACCCUAACGCACGCGGCAAAACUCAUGACGGCAAACCUCACGGCGGCAACCCCCACUUCUCACCUAACCGGCGGCAACCCUCUUCUCACCUAAGCGGCGGCUACAAUUGAGCCUUCUCCUCUCCUAACCCUAAUACCAGCUCUGAUGGUAACGACGGCGAAAUCGCCACAAGCCAACGUCGGCUAUAGCAGUGGAAAACCGCCACAGGUAAACCUUUUCCUGAAAUUGUUGAAAUCUAAAUCGAUUCUUCAUUCGCUAUUGUUACAGAUCCAGGAACCUAAAGCCAAAAUCACCCUUCACAAGAAACUAAGACGACACCGACCUUCGGUUUAGCGAACACAAGGCGUUGGAUUUAUGGUUCUGGUCACAAUAGAAGGGUUUAAGAGCUAUAAAAAACAAGUUACGACCAAAGACUUCAGCCUUAAAGUUAACUGUGGUGAAAUGCAGCCUGCUUCAAACUGUUCCGACUGAUGUACUGGAAAAGGGAAAGGCUAUAGCUGAUGCAUACAACACUCCUGAAGAAGAUUGUCCACCAAAAAACUUAGAACCAAAGUUGAAGCAGCUGGAGUUGAUACUGUGAUGACGUCAACUGUAUGUUGGGAUCAAUAAUGGUCAGGAUCCAACUCUUGAUUCUCUUGUUAAGCUGACAAGCCUUUUGAUUAUUUAUGAUUUUACUUGUAGUUUACAUUUGUUUCAUGUAUUAAUCAAAUUGGCACUUUGUUUCAUGUAUUAAUCAAUGGUGAUGUUUGUGACAUUAUGUAUGAUUUUACUGCCUUUUA
Molecule: long non-coding RNA, 890 nt
Organism: Helianthus annuus (common sunflower)
Lineage: Eukaryota; Viridiplantae; Streptophyta; Magnoliopsida; Asterales; Asteraceae
Exons: 3
Source: RefSeq, a predicted model, not a curated record